RNAcentral lists this ribosomal RNA (207 nucleotides) under Providencia rettgeri. Its description in RNAcentral is "partial 16S ribosomal RNA". It matches the Rfam family "Bacterial small subunit ribosomal RNA", at positions 1 to 212 of the family's 1533-position model. Lineage: Bacteria; Pseudomonadati; Pseudomonadota; Gammaproteobacteria; Enterobacterales; Morganellaceae. The record is from RNAcentral.
UUAAUUGAAGAGUUUGAUCAUGGCUCAGAUUGAACGCUGGCGGCAGGCCUAACACAUGCAAGUCGAGCGGUAACAGGGGGAGCUUGCUUCUCGCUGACGAGCGGCGGACGGGUGAGUAAUGUAUGGGGAUCUGCCCGAUAGAGGGGGAUAACCACUGGAAACGGUGGCUAAUACCGCAUAAUCUCUUAGGAGCAAAGCAGGGGAACU